Cannabis sativa is the source of this 64-nucleotide small nucleolar RNA. RefSeq annotates it as small nucleolar RNA snoR101. The record is from RefSeq and is a predicted model, not a curated record. NCBI's taxonomy places the organism in Eukaryota, Viridiplantae, Streptophyta, Magnoliopsida, Rosales, Cannabaceae. The transcript has a single exon.
GACUUACAGUUGAUCUCUGAACUUGAAGUAAGUUCAUGGGGGAAAUGGUCUAUUCGCUGAUGCU